ACGGGUGAGUAAUGUCUGGGAAACUAGCCUGAUGGAGGGGGGUAACUACUGGAAACGGUAGCUAAUACCGCAUAACGUCGCAAGACCAAAGAGGGGGACCUUCGGGCCUCUUGCCAUCGGAUGUGCCCAGAUGGGAUUAGCUAGUAGGUGGGGUAACGGCUCACCUAGGCGACGAUCCCUAGCUGGUCUGAGAGGAUGACCAGCCACACUGGAACUGAGACACGGUCCAG
RNAcentral lists this ribosomal RNA (230 nucleotides) under uncultured bacterium. RNAcentral describes it as "partial 16S ribosomal RNA". It matches the Rfam family "Bacterial small subunit ribosomal RNA", at positions 102 to 334 of the family's 1533-position model. The record is from RNAcentral.